GCUUGACCUCGGAUCAGGUGGGGGUACCCGCUGAACUUAAGCAUAUCAAUAAGCGGAGGAAGAGAAACCAACCGGGAUUG
This 80-nucleotide ribosomal RNA is filed under the name Neothyriopsis sphaerospora. RNAcentral describes it as "partial 28S ribosomal RNA". It matches the Rfam family "Eukaryotic large subunit ribosomal RNA", at positions 1 to 77 of the family's 3401-position model. Lineage: Eukaryota; Fungi; Ascomycota; Dothideomycetes. The record is from RNAcentral.